This is an RNA transcript of Parus major (Great Tit), 2034 nucleotides long. It is a transcript of the gene named shisa like 2A, with no coding region annotated. The transcript is spliced from 5 exons. NCBI's taxonomy places the organism in Eukaryota, Metazoa, Chordata, Aves, Passeriformes, Paridae. The record is from RefSeq and is a predicted model, not a curated record.
GCCUCGCCUCGCCUCCCCUCCCGCCCGGGUGCCGCCGAGCCGAGGCGUCGGGCGGGCAGCGGGCGGGCGGCCGCGCCAUGAGCGCCGAGUGCAGCAGUUACCUCAACGCCGACAAGGUGCUGGUGAGCGGGUUCAGCUGCCCGCGGGCGGGCGGCGACGCCCGCGCCGUGUUCUGCUGCGGCUUCCAGGACGUCAAGUACUGCUGCGAUGAUCCCCACAGCUUCUUCCCCUACGAGCACAGCUAUAUGUGGUGGCUCAGUGUUGGAGCACUCGUGGGCCUGUCAAUAGCAGCAGUGGUCCUCUUUGCUUUUAUCAUCACUGUGUGUGUUCUCUGUUAUUUGUUUAUCAGCACCAAGCCACGCAGCAAACUGGAUACUGGUCUGAGCUUACAGACGGCAGACAGUGAGGCCAGAGGGAGUUCAGUAUGUUAAAGACAGAGGCACUGAAUGGAUUCUAUCAACGUUAUGAAGAGGGGGUUGAAAGCUCAUGGCUGAACAGCCACAGAAUGUGAGAAUAGCUGCAGAUCAGCAAUGUCUGUCACAAGAGAAAUAAGUGGUCCUGUUUGCUCAGCAGUUGUUUUCAGAUGAGCAGGAAAAUACAGAGCUGCAUCCUCCACAAAAGCCCCACCAAAACAAGCUGUUGGCAAAGCCAAGUGACUUCAAGAGAUUUCCUAAGCCACAAGGACAGACUGCGACUGUAAGCCACGAGAACCCAAUUCACUCUUCCAGAGGUGUUUCCUGGCUCUUACAACCACUAUCGAUAACCAGAGGCCAAUCUGAAGCUGUGCUAGGAUGUUUGUGUACAGUUGCUGUACUGAGAAGUUGUGUGUUUUGAUUUGCAUAUCAGCUACUGCUGUCAGUCAUUUUCAUGCAAGUUGUUGUCUCUAUCCUGUGCAAAUCCAGUGAGAUAACACAGUUGUCAAGCAGAGCAGAAUUUGGCACACCAUGUUGACCCAGCUUUAUUUUAAGCUUUCCCCGUGUGCCAUCUCAGUGUGGUGUCUUCAUGUCUUGAACAUGGUUGUCUUUUGCCAAAUGUGACUGACUGUUCAAUGCACAAACAAAUGUGAAUGCAGUACCUCAAUAAAAUCUGGCAUUUGUGUUGUAUUUUUCUUAAUUUAUCAUUCUCCCCACUUCUGUUUUCUCAGAAGAUUCUUUUGAAUCUUGAAAUUAUUUUCAUGGGAAAUUUUUUUAACAAAAGGUGGAGUUAAUAAAGAAUUUACUUUUUUAGGGAAAUUUAGAUUUUAACAGCUGUUUUCACUGGGAUUGGUAUACACUGAAAUUAAUUGAAAUAAACAUCCAAAAUUGUUUUGCAGAUUCUUCAUCAAAACAUGUUGGAAUAUUUCUUAGGAAGCAAACUAAAAUUUUCCAGUAGUAUUUCAGUUUGGAGCACUAAUUUGUGAAGUGUUGAACUUCCUUCAGGUAAUCAAAGAGCUCUAAUUGCACAUUUUAUUUCCCCAGAAGUCUCAGGAACAGCCAACACAGUCUUAACUGUCAUAUUUGAGUUGUCAAUUCUUUCAAGCUUUCAGUCUUGAAAUCAUGAACAUUAAUCAUAAUGAUUUCUUUUCAUCUUGUGAGGGUUCUUUAAGGUGAGUGAUCAAAAGAAUUUCAAAACUAUUUAACCAUGCUGUUGAUAUUAAGGCAGUAGACAGAUUUUACCUUCCAUUUGCAGAUGAAGCCUAAAACAUUUACCUAACAUGUCAGUUUUGUCUGUGGUUAUACUUCAACUUGUUAAGACAAAAUCCUUGUCUACUGCUGGGAGUCACAUCUUUUUGUGUUAUAGUGCUUGAAAUUUAAAUUCUGUAGCUGUCUGGUACUGUGCAUCAAAACCCCAAAGUGCUUCUGUCUCAUCUGCUCUUGUGUGAAAUAAUCGACCAGUGCCUCCUAUUGAAGUAGAGAAUGUGUUGUAUGUUCUUCCAAUAGCUGUAUGUCUGUAUAUAAUAACUCAUUAAACUAUUUGCCACCAUGGACUUGGAGAGAAUUGAAACCACACUGGAUGCAUAAAGAAAAUGUUUUUAUAACAACAGAACAUAAACCU